AGAGAGAUGGCAGAGUGGUCGAUUGCGGCGGUCUUGAAAACCGUUGACUGUUAAAGGUCCGGGGGUUCGAAUCCCUCUCUCUCUGCAA
Molecule: transfer RNA, 88 nt
Filed under: Emticicia agri
Lineage: Bacteria; Pseudomonadati; Bacteroidota; Cytophagia; Cytophagales; Leadbetterellaceae
Description: Emticicia sp. 17J42-9 tRNA-Ser
Rfam family: tRNA
About the family: Transfer RNA (tRNA) molecules are approximately 80 nucleotides in length. Their secondary structure includes four short double-helical elements and three loops (D, anti-codon, and T loops).
Source: RNAcentral